ACAGAGGGGGCAAGCGUUGUUCGGAAUUACUGGGCGUAAAGGGCGCGUAGGCGGCCCUCUAAGUCGAACGUGAAAUCCCUGGGCUCAACCCAGGAACUGCGUCCGAGACUGGAGGGCUAGAAUCCGGGAGAGGGAUGUGGAAUUCCAGGUGUAGCGGUGAAAUGCGUAGAUAUCGGGAGGAACACCAGUGGCGAAGGCGAGUCUCUGGGAUGAUGCUGACGCUGAGGCGCGAAAGCCAGGGGAGCAAACGGGA
Molecule: ribosomal RNA, 253 nt
Filed under: uncultured prokaryote
Description: partial 16S ribosomal RNA
Rfam family: Bacterial small subunit ribosomal RNA
Source: RNAcentral